This 125-nucleotide small nucleolar RNA is filed under the name Microcebus murinus (gray mouse lemur). RNAcentral's name for it is "Small nucleolar RNA SNORA51 (ENSMICG00000022240.3)". It matches the Rfam family "Small nucleolar RNA SNORA51". Rfam says of the family: ACA51 is a member of the H/ACA class of snoRNA that guide the sites of modification of uridines to pseudouridines. Lineage: Eukaryota; Metazoa; Chordata; Mammalia; Primates; Cheirogaleidae. The record is from Rfam by way of RNAcentral.
AGUCUUCUGGUGCUUACCGUAGGCUAUGAUCUUAAACUGACUGUAUAGAAGGAGGAGGCAGAGUAAACCUACCCCCAUGCACCCCAGCCCUGUGCCUGGUCUGUAUUGUGAAUGGGGGGACAUGG